RNAcentral lists this ribosomal RNA (449 nucleotides) under uncultured bacterium. Its description in RNAcentral is "partial 16S ribosomal RNA". It matches the Rfam family "Bacterial small subunit ribosomal RNA", at positions 29 to 523 of the family's 1533-position model. The record is from RNAcentral.
AAUGGACGCUGGCGGCAGGCCUAACACAUGCAAGUCGAACGGAUCCUUCGGGAUUAGUGGCGGACGGGUGAGUAACGCGUGGGAACAUACCCUUUGGUACGGAAUAGCCUCGGGAAACUGGGAGUAAUACCGUAUGUGGUCGAGAGACGAAAGAUUUAUCGCCAAAGGAUUGGCCCGCGUUGGAUUAGGUAGUUGGUGGGGUAAUGGCCCACCAAGCCGACGAUCCAUAGCUGGUUUGAGAGGAUGAUCAGCCACACUGGGACUGAGACACGGCCCAGACUCCUACGGGAGGCAGCAGUGGGGAAUCUUAGACGAUGGGGGAAACCCUGAUCUAGCCACGCCGCGUGAGUGAUGAAGGCCUUCGGGUCGUAAAGCUCUUUGAUCAGGGACGAUAAUGACGGUACCUGAAAAACAAGCCACGGCUAACUACGUGCCAGCAGCCGCCGUAA